Molecule: ribosomal RNA, 505 nt
Filed under: uncultured bacterium
Lineage: Bacteria
Description: partial 16S ribosomal RNA
Rfam family: Bacterial small subunit ribosomal RNA
Source: RNAcentral
GACGAACGCUGGCGGCGUGCCUAAUACAUGCAAGUAGAACGCACAGUUUAUACCGUAGCUUGCUACACCAUAGACUGUGAGUUGCGAACGGGUGAGUAACGCGUAGGUAACCUGCCUGGUAGCGGGGGAUAACUAUUGGAAACGAUAGCUAAUACCGCAUAAUAUUAAUUAUUGCAUGAUAAUUAAUUGAAAGGUGCAAUUGCACCACUACCAGAUGGACCUGCGUUGUAUUAGCUAGUAGGUGAGGUAACGGCUCACCUAGGCGACGAUACAUAGCCGACCUGAGAGGGGGAUCGGCCACACUGGGACUGAGACACGGCCCAGACUCCUACGGGAGGCUGCAGUAGGGAAUCUUCGGCAAUGGACGAAAGUCUGACCGAGCAACGCCGCGUGAGUGAAGAAGGUUUUCGGAUCGUAAAGCUCUGUUGUAAGAGAAGAACGGGUGUGAGAGUGGAAAGUUCACACUGUGACGGUAUCUUACCAGAAAGGGACGGCUAACUACGUG